UCCUGACUUCUCACUAACUUCUCCAAACGAAGCCUCUCUAUUUCUCUCUGUUAAAUCAAUCUCAAUGUUCUUCUUUGAUUGCUCAUAGUAAUUCAGGAUUGUUUGCUCAGCAUCCUCCAGUUGUUGCUGAAGAUCUGACGUCAGGUUGCUGUUGCAUCAGACAAAAGUCUGAAUUCAUUCGACGUGAUUGUUUAUAUAUGGAUGAACAAGAAGAGGGACAAUCUUGUUGGGACAUUUUGCUGAAGAAAGAAGUCUUUCACAGUGAGACGUUAGCGGCAGGCAAAUUAAGCUAUUCUUGAUAUGGGUUACUGAGCUGUACAGAGAAAUAGAUUUUCUCUUCCUCAAAAAAUAAUAAAAAAAAAAGAAAUGGAUGUAAAUCUUA
Molecule: long non-coding RNA, 382 nt
Organism: Cheilinus undulatus (humphead wrasse)
Lineage: Eukaryota; Metazoa; Chordata; Actinopteri; Labriformes; Labridae
Exons: 3
Source: RefSeq, a predicted model, not a curated record